GACGAACGCUGGCGGCGUGCUUAACACAUGCAAGUCGAACGGACAGGCCCUGCUUUUGUUGGGUGCUCGUGUGGCGAAGGGGUGAGUAACACGUGAGUAACCUGUCCUUGUCUUUGGGGUAACUUCUGGAAAAUGGGGCUCAUACCGGGUAGGAGCUCCUGCUGCAUGGUGGGGGAUGGUAAGAUCCGGCGGUUGUGGAUGGACUCGCGGCUUAUCAGCUUGUUGGUGGGGUAGGGGCUUACCAAGGCUUUGACGGGUAGGCGGCCUGAGAGGGUGACCAGCCACAAUGGGCCUAAGAGACGGCCCAGACUCCUACGGGAGGCAGCAGUGGGAAAUAUUGCACAGUGGGCGGAAGCCUGAUGCAGCAACGCCGCGUGCGGGAUGACGGCCUUCGAGUUGUAAACCGCUUUCGCCUGUGACGAAGCGUGAGUGACGGUAAUGGGUAAAAAAGCACCGGCUAACUACGUG
Molecule: ribosomal RNA, 468 nt
Filed under: uncultured bacterium
Lineage: Bacteria
Description: partial 16S ribosomal RNA
Rfam family: Bacterial small subunit ribosomal RNA
Source: RNAcentral